UACAGAGGUGGCAAGCGUUGUUCGGAAUUACUGGGCGUAAAGGGCGCGUAGGCGGUUCUGUAAGUCCCGCGUGAAAUCCCCCGGCUCAACUGGGGAACUGCGCGGGAAACUGCGGGGCUUGAGUUCGGGAGAGGGAAGCGGAAUUCCGGGUGUAGCGGUGAAAUGCGUAGAUAUCCGGAGGAACACCGGUGGCGAAGGCGGCUUCCUGGACCGACACUGACGCUGAGGCGCGAAAGCUAGGGGAGCAAACGGG
RNAcentral lists this ribosomal RNA (253 nucleotides) under uncultured bacterium. Its description in RNAcentral is "partial 16S ribosomal RNA". It matches the Rfam family "Bacterial small subunit ribosomal RNA", at positions 524 to 776 of the family's 1533-position model. The record is from RNAcentral.